Molecule: ribosomal RNA, 535 nt
Filed under: Brevundimonas sp. VA2-48
Lineage: Bacteria; Pseudomonadati; Pseudomonadota; Alphaproteobacteria; Caulobacterales; Caulobacteraceae
Description: bacterial SSU rRNA
Rfam family: Bacterial small subunit ribosomal RNA
Source: RNAcentral
UUUAUUUGUUUCAUCCUGGCUCAGGAAGUAGUAACAAGGUCGUCGUUGAGUUUGAUCAUGGCUCAGAUUGAACGCUGGCGGCAUGCCUUACACAUGCAAGUCGAACGGCAGCACGGACUUCGGUCUGGUGGCGAGUGGCGAACGGGUGAGUAAUAUAUCGGAACAUACCCUAGAGUGGGGGAUAACGUAGCGAAAGUUACGCUAAUACCGCAUACGAACUAAGGUUGAAAGUGGGGGAUCGCAAGACCUCAUGCUCAUGGAGUGGCCGAUAUCUGAUUAGCUAGUUGGUGAGGUAAAGGCUCACCAAGGCGACGAUCAGUAGCUGGUCUGAGAGGACGACCAGCCACACUGGAACUGAGACACGGUCCAGACUCCUACGGGAGGCAGCAGUGGGGAAUUUUGGACAAUGGGGGCAACCCUGAUCCAGCAAUGCCGCGUGAGUGAAGAAGGCCUUCGGGUUGUAAAGCUCUUUUGUCAGGGAAGAAACGGUGAUCUAUAAUAUAGAUUGCUAACGACGGUACCCAAGAAUAACCCG